This 253-nucleotide ribosomal RNA is filed under the name uncultured bacterium. Its description in RNAcentral is "partial 16S ribosomal RNA". It matches the Rfam family "Bacterial small subunit ribosomal RNA", at positions 524 to 776 of the family's 1533-position model. The record is from RNAcentral.
UACGGAGGGGGCGAGCGUUAUUCGGAAUUAUUGGGCGUAAAGGGCGCGUAGGUGGCCCGGUAAGUCAAAGGUGAAAUCCCUCGGCUCAACUGAGGAAUUGCCUUUGAAACUGCCAGGCUCGAGGCCGGGAGGGGGUAGCGGAAUUCCCAGUGUAGCGGUGAAAUGCGUAGAUACUGGGAGGAACACCAGUGGCGAAGGCGGCUACCUGGACCGGUACUGACACUGAGGCGCGAAAGCGUGGGGAGCAAACAGG